AUGGGUUCCGUGGCUUGUCCGGUUUCGACAACGUGCGCGGAUGCUUCUACUUGGCGUCACCUUAAUUGGUUAGACAAGUUGUUCGUGCUGGACACACAAAGAAUGGAGUUUUUCACUGUGAACUAUCACACCGGCUAUGAUAUACUGCUCACACAUCUGCCUGGCCGGAUACUCAAAUUUCUCGCCAGUUACGAUAAACCCCCUAGAGUUCUACCUGGCCAGAACAGAAGUUUGCCUGGCAGUGUAGUAGGUAGAGAAGGAUACCUCGAGAUGUUUUCUCUCGUCGGUGAUCACAGCCCAAAUGGCUCAUUUGAUCUCUAUCAUAUGACUCAGCAAACCAAUGGUGAAUCUUCCAGUGAUUGGCAGCUAGAGAAUAUUAUACCGUUGCCUCGCAGAUAUGAUUAUUUCACCGUGAGUGCAGCUGAGGGACUCUUAUUCCUUGGAGCCACUACAGAAGAUCAAGUGGAUUUUGAUAUAGUUUCCGGGUACCAUUGUCCAGGACUGAUUGGGAUGUAG
Molecule: ribosomal RNA, 516 nt
Filed under: Triticum aestivum (bread wheat)
Lineage: Eukaryota; Viridiplantae; Streptophyta; Magnoliopsida; Poales; Poaceae
Description: partial small subunit ribosomal RNA
Source: RNAcentral